GACGAACGCUGGCGGCGUGCUUAACACAUGCAAGUCGAACGGAAAGGCCCUUUCGGGGGUACUCGAGUGGCGAACGGGUGAGUAACACGUGGGUGAUCUGCCCUGCACUUUGGGAUAAGCUUGGGAAACUGGGUCUAAUACCGAAUACACCCUGCUGGUCGCAUGGCCUGGUGGGGAAAGGCUUUGCGGUGUGGGAUGGGCCCGCGGCCUAUCAGCUUGUUGGUGGGGUGAUGGCCUACCAAGGCGACGACGGGUAGCCGGCCUGAGAGGGUGUCCGGCCACACUGGGACUGAGACACGGCCCAGACUCCUACGGGAGGCAGCAGUGGGGAAUCUUGCGCAAUGGGCGAAAGCCUGACGCAGCCAUGCCGCGUGAAUGAUGAAGGUCUUAGGAUUGU
This 397-nucleotide ribosomal RNA is filed under the name uncultured bacterium. RNAcentral describes it as "bacterial SSU rRNA". It matches the Rfam family "Bacterial small subunit ribosomal RNA", at positions 28 to 426 of the family's 1533-position model. The record is from RNAcentral.